This 1147-nucleotide long non-coding RNA is filed under the name Bos indicus x Bos taurus (hybrid cattle). Its description in RNAcentral is "lncRNA (ENSBIXG00005019824.1)". Lineage: Eukaryota; Metazoa; Chordata; Mammalia; Artiodactyla; Bovidae. The record is from RNAcentral.
GCCUGGGCAAAGUACUCCUCAAGCUGGAGGAGCCUGUUGAUAUUUUAGUUUUCAUCAACUGUGCAAAUCUUUGAAUCUUUUUGGUUUGAAUGCGUCAGAGUCUGGUCUGGAAAUCUACCCGAGAUUAUUUUUAGCCUGUUUGACCAGGGGAUCAGCUGCUCUAUGGAGAUGUUCACUCAGGGCCAGGGGUGAGCCUGCACAUACUACCUCCCGCAGGCAGUCACAAGCGCUUGAAGUUGCUCCUGGGCCAGGGCUGGAAGCGGCUGUGGGACCCUGAGUCCCUGAAUCUGAAAGCAGGACUGGGGGGCUCUCCUGAGAUUGGCCCCGGCCAAUAUGUAAGGACCUCAGGGGACUCAUGGCUGGAUCCUUCUCUGGUCCUGCUCAGACUCUCUCUAUGAUGGUGGUUGCCAGCUGAUGGAACACUCGCACUCUGGGCUUAGUCUCUGUCCAGCCCUCCCUUGCGGAGAAGGCGAUGGCACCCACUCCAGUACUCUUGCCUGGAAAAUCCCAUGGAUGGAGGAGCCUGGUAGGCUGCAGUCCAUGGGGUUGCUAGCAGUCGGACAUAACUGAGCGACUUCACUUUCACUUUUCACUUUCAUGCAUUGGAGAAGGAAAUGGCAACCCACUCCAGUGUUCUUGCCUGGAGAAUCCCAGGGACGGGAGAGCCUGGUGGGCUGCCAUCUAUGGGGUUGCAUGGAGUCGGACAUGACUGAAGCGACUUAGUAGCAGCAGUAGCAGCAGCCCUCCCUUGGCUCCAAACAAGCUGUGGAUGUUCACUCCUUUGUACAAACUGUUUCUUCUGCCAGGAAUAUCCUUCUUUUUUCUUUUUUUGCAUUCAAGGCUCAGCUCAAAUGGCCCCUCUUGCGUAAAGCUUACCCCUCCCACUGAGAUGACCUGGUCACACUCUUCUCUAAGUGCCCAGAAGCUCUGUACCUGCUACAUCCUGCUCACAAGGAAGGAAGGACUAACUGCUGCUACCUGUCUGCUCUCCUUACCCGAUGGGGGCUUCUGGAGGCAAGGACCCCUGGUGCGCAUCCCAGUGCCUGGCACGUCAUGGGACUUUGCACAUGGCUGCUGGGUGAGGGAAGCUCCGUGGCAGCAGGAUGAGGUGCUGGGAACAAGCAGGAAGCAGGAAGCUGGAGCUUGA